RNAcentral lists this ribosomal RNA (450 nucleotides) under uncultured bacterium. Its description in RNAcentral is "partial 16S ribosomal RNA". It matches the Rfam family "Bacterial small subunit ribosomal RNA", at positions 354 to 796 of the family's 1533-position model. The record is from RNAcentral.
GUGGGGAAUAUUGGACAAUGGGCGAAAGCCUGAUCCAGCCAUGCCGCGUGUGUGAAGAAGGUCUUCGGAUUGUAAAGCACUUUAAGUUGGGAGGAAGGGCAGUAAGUUAAUACCUUGCUGUUUUGACGUUACCGACAGAAUAAGCACCGGCUAACUUCGUGCCAGCAGCCGCGGUAAUACGCAGGGUGCAAGCGUUAAUCGGAAUUACUGGGCGUAAAGCGCGCGGAGGUGGUUUUGUAAGUUGGAGGUGAAAUCCCCGGGCUCAACCUGGGAACUGCCUCAAAAACUGCAUGACUAGAGUACGGUAGAGGGUAGUGGAAUUUCCUGUGUAGCGGUGAAAUGCGUAGAUAUAGGAAGGAACACCAGUGGCGAAGGCGACUACCUGGACUGAUACUGACACUGAGGUGCGAAAGCGUGGGGAGCAAACAGGAUUAGAUACCCCGGUAGUCC